This 1148-nucleotide long non-coding RNA is filed under the name Sus scrofa (pig). RNAcentral describes it as "lncRNA (ENSSSCG00040043675.1)". The record is from RNAcentral. Lineage: Eukaryota; Metazoa; Chordata; Mammalia; Artiodactyla; Suidae.
AUACUUUGCAUCUGUUAACCCCAAGUUCCCAAUCCACCCCACUCUCUCCCCCUCUCCCUUGGCAACCACAAGUCUGUUCUCCAAGUCCAUGAGUUUCUUUUCUGUGGAAAGGUUCAUUUGUGCCAUAUAUUAGAUUCCACAUAGAAGUGAUAUCAUAUGGUAUUUGUCCUUCUCUUUCUGACUGACUUAACUUAGUAUGAGAGUCUCUAGUUCCAUCCAUGUUGCUGCAAAUGACAUUAUUUUGUUCUUUUUUAUGGCUGAGUGGUAUCCCAUUGCAUAUAUAUACCACAUCUUCUUAAUCCAUUCAUCUGUCAAUGGACAUGAAGGUUGUUUCCAUGUCUUGGCUAUUGUGAGUAGUGCUGCAAUGAACGUACAGAUGCAUGUCUCUUUUUCAAGGAAAGUUUUAUCUGGAUGGAUAUAUGCCCAAGAGUGGGCUUGCUGGGUCAUGUGGUAGUUCUCUAUUUAGUUUUCUGAGGUUCCUCUAUACUGUUUUCCAUAGUGGUUGUAUCAAUUUACAUUCCCACCAACAUGUAGGAGGAUUCCUUUUUCUCCACACCCUCUCUAGCACUUGUUAUUUGUGGGCUUGUUCAUGAUGGCCCUUCUGACAGGUAUGAGGUGGUAUCUCAUAGUAGUAUUGAUUUUCGUUUCUCUAAUCAUCAGUGAUGUUGAUCAUUUUUUCAUGUCCUUGUUGCCCAUCUGUAUAUCUUCUUUGGAGAAAUGUUUAUUCCCGUCUUUUGCCCAUUUUUCAAUUGAGGUGUUGGCUUUCUUGCUGUUGAGUUGUAUAAACUGUUCGUAUAUUUUAGAGAUUAAGCCACUGUCAGUUGCGUUGUUUGAAACUAUAUUUUCUGUUCCAUAGAUUGCCUUUUUUUUUUUUAAUGUUUUCCUUUGCUGUGUAAAAACUUGUCAGUUUAAGUCCCAUUGGUUUAUUUUUUGCUUUUAUUUGUGUUGCCUUGGGAGACUGACCUGAGAAAACAUUUGUAAGGGUGAUGUUAGAGAAGGUUUUGCCUAUGUUCUCUUCUAGGAGUUUGAUGGUGUUAUUGUCUUAUGUUUAAGCCUUUAAGCCAUUUUGAGUUUAUUUUUGUGCACAGUGUGAGGGUGUGUUCCAGUUUCCUUGAUUUACAUGUGGCUGUCCAGUUUUCUCAGUACCA